UACGUAGGGAGCGAGCGUUGUCCGGAAUUACUGGGUGUAAAGGGUGCGUAGGCGGGAAAGCAAGUCCGACGUGAAAUGCCGGGGCUCAACUCCGGAGCUGCGUUAGAAACUGUUUUUCUUGAGUGAAGUAGAGGCAGGCGGAAUUCCUAGUGUAGCGGUGAAAUGCGUAGAUAUUAGGAGGAACACCAGUGGCGAAGGCGGCCUGCUGGGCUUUAACUGACGCUGAGGCACGAAAGCAUGGGGAGCAAACA
This 251-nucleotide ribosomal RNA is filed under the name uncultured bacterium. RNAcentral describes it as "partial 16S ribosomal RNA". It matches the Rfam family "Bacterial small subunit ribosomal RNA", at positions 524 to 774 of the family's 1533-position model. The record is from RNAcentral.